This 548-nucleotide ribosomal RNA is filed under the name uncultured bacterium. Its description in RNAcentral is "bacterial SSU rRNA". It matches the Rfam family "Bacterial small subunit ribosomal RNA", at positions 355 to 896 of the family's 1533-position model. The record is from RNAcentral.
UGGGGAAUUUUGGACAAUGGGCGCAAGCCUGAUCCAGCCAUGCCGCGUGCGGGAAGAAGGCCUUCGGGUUGUAAACCGCUUUUGUCAGGGAAGAAACGCUUCGAGCUAAUACCUUGGAGUAAUGACGGUACCUGAAGAAUAAGCACCGGCUAACUACGUGCCAGCAGCCGCGGUAAUACGUAGGGUGCAAGCGUUAAUCGGAAUUACUGGGCGUAAAGCGUGCGCAGGCGGCUUUGCAAGACAGAUGUGAAAUCCCCGGGCUCAACCUGGGAACUGCAUUUGUGACUGCAAGGCUAGAGUACGGUAGAGGGGGAUGGAAUUCCGCGUGUAGCAGUGAAAUGCGUAGAUAUGCGGAGGAGCACCGAUGGCGAAGGCAAUCCCCUGGACCUGUACUGACGCUCAUGCACGAAAGCGUGGGGAGCAAACAGGAUUAGAUACCCUGGUAGUCCACGCCCUAAACGAUGUCAACUGGUUGUUGGACGGCUUGCUGUUCAGUAACGAAGCUAACGCGUGAAGUUGACCGCCUGGGGAGUACGGCCGCAAGGUUG